CUUAGAACCUUGACCACACAAAUAGAAGCAAGAACUUUAUCAUCAUCACUAUAGCAACAGCGUGGAAAUUUAUUUCAAAAUGAUUGACUACAUGAAACAGGUGGAGACCAUCAUAGGAAAUGACAACCGAACACAAUGAAGACACUAAAGGGUUGUGGGUCAUCUAGACCAAUGGAUCAAACUACAACAUUUCUCCUACAUCAAUGACUUAGGAAACAUUACGAAACAGGGUGUGGAGAAACUGUAAGAGCCAGAAUACCAGGAUGUCUAGUAUGAAAGUUUCUAUGGGAAUGGCUACAUAAAUAGUCAAUAUAUAUAUUGGAUUUUUCAAGAUAGGAUUUGUUAUAUGGCCCUGGCUGUCCCUGGAAUUCAUUCUGUGGAACAGGCUGGCCUUGAACAGAGAUCUGCCUGCCUCUGCAUCCAGCGUGCUGGGAUUAAAGCACAGGCAAAAAAGGAGAAAAGCAGAUACCAGGAGCUCACUGGCCAGCGAGUAUUGCCAAUGGAUGAGCUCCAGAUUCAACUGAGAAGCCUCAAAGGAUAAAAAGGAGAUGUAUCAAGGAAGAACCACAAACAUACAAACAGAUGCACAUGCAAGUGGAUACAAUACACACACAUAUAAAUAAAUAAAUAGAUAGAUAAUAGAUAGAUGAUAAAUAAAUAUUCUCCUAUACCAUACUUUUUUCCCCCUAGAUUCAGAGAAUGGAAAACCAUGGAAAAGGGAAGAGAUUGUAAGAGUUAGAGACAAGGAAGGACUGAAGUGAAACAUUGUCUUCUGGCCUUGA
Molecule: long non-coding RNA, 782 nt
Organism: Peromyscus eremicus (cactus mouse)
Lineage: Eukaryota; Metazoa; Chordata; Mammalia; Rodentia; Cricetidae
Exons: 3
Source: RefSeq, a predicted model, not a curated record